Molecule: long non-coding RNA, 633 nt
Organism: Vitis riparia (riverbank grape)
Lineage: Eukaryota; Viridiplantae; Streptophyta; Magnoliopsida; Vitales; Vitaceae
Exons: 2
Source: RefSeq, a predicted model, not a curated record
UAAAUAUACACAAACCUCAUAGCCAUCUCUAUACAAUCCAAUCAUCUUCCUCAUUUUCUUCAUUCAUUCAUGGCCAAGACCCUCCUCUCAGUUCUCUUCUUCAUCACCUUCAUCCUGCUCUCUUCCUACAUACAAGCCCGCCCCAUAUAUGACCACAGCGCCAUGAUGAAGUCAGUUCCUGGCCUAAUGGAGAGGGCCAACCGGUAUGUUGAAGUGCUUGGCCUCUGGGGGAUCAAGAACUCUGGCCCCAGUCCUGGGGAGGGCCACUCUUUUGUUAAUGGUGCACACAAUUAAUGGGACUCCAGCUUUGCUCUCGAUGCUUUAGGAAUUCAAAGAGGAAUCCCCACAUGUUGGGAUGCUAUAUGCCAUGUGUUGGAUCAAUGGGGCCCUUGAGUUUCUGGAGUGAGCUCAAUAAUUUUCUUUCAAUGUAAGAUAAAAGUCAUGCUGCUGCUCCCAUAAAUACAGAGGUACAAUUGUAUCUUUCUGUGUAAAAUUAGGAAUUCAGUUAUUAGAAUUGAACGAAAAAAAUAACAGGUAUGACUCAGUCAAUUCUUUUCAUUGUCAUGCUUGUUUGAUUCUCAAUGGACUGAUUCAGAAACCUCCUAGUGCUACAGUUUUAUCUGGUCCCCAUCA